Papaver somniferum (opium poppy) is the source of this 2700-nucleotide long non-coding RNA. RefSeq lists it as uncharacterized. Lineage: Eukaryota; Viridiplantae; Streptophyta; Magnoliopsida; Ranunculales; Papaveraceae. The record is from RefSeq and is a predicted model, not a curated record. The transcript is spliced from 3 exons.
UUCUUCUCCCCCCACCCCCAUCUCCUCGUUACCAUCGAUUUUUUUUUCAAUAAAAAAACCUAAAUCAUGUAGCUUUCACUCCUAAAGAAAAAUCCUAAACCUAACUUCGAUAUUUCUCCUACUCCAACUCUACAAGAGAAUCAUUCCCACCUUGUUAUCAAUUGUUUGCUUAUAAAAUCCUAAAUGGUGUUAACUAACUUAACCCUAAAUACCAUUAAAAUCCAAUCAAAACUGAACCAAUUUUUGGAGUUUUCUCCUUCUUUCUUCUCCAACAACAACCUGGAUAAUCAGAAGAUCGUGUUACAAACCCUAGGUACUGAAAUAUCAUAGGGGAGCAGAGGAGGUAAGGAAAAUAAGAGAGAAUAAAGUCAAUAGAAGUGGUGACGGUGGUGUUUAUUCUUUGCCUCAUUAGAAAACGAUGAAAGAUUGGCUGUAUUGCGAACUGUUCAUGUAGGUAAAUACUCAUUCUGGUAUGAAAUUGUGUGGACGGAAUAUUGAAUGGUGGUUUUUUAUAGAACCUGAAUGUACAUUACUCGGGGCAUAGCCGUCAAAAGUGUUAUUUUGCAUGCAUUUCUGAUUUUGGUGGAUUAUUUUUAAAUUUACUGUCUACGGCAGUGUAUGCAAAAAUUUUAUCACUUCGACACACACUUGAAAUGUUUGAUUUUGGGUUUUCAUGGCUAGUAUAUGUUGACAAUAAUUAUGUUGCUUCUCUUUUUUCCUUUGAAACCUCUGAUAGACUUGGUAUGCUUGUGUUCCUGGUUAAAAGAAUAGGACAUAAUUUUGGAUGUUUCAAUAGACAAGAAAAGAUACAGGCCACUACCUAGAUAAGAGGUGUGACUCAUCCUAGUAUAUUCAUCUUUAGUGCAUACAUAUGCUAUUCAGUUCUCCGAACUCGAGAGCUGAAAUUUAUGACAGAUGACAACCCAAAUUUUGUAUUAUAUUAUCUUUUUUUCUUUGAGCGAGUAUUAUAUGAUCUAAUGACUCUUUAAUGGAAAGUAGCUAAGAAGUAAUACUGGUAUAUGUUUUCAUUUGUGUUGUUGUGCCAUUUACUGUAUUUAUUCAUGGGUUUUCAUAUGAUUUAUGCUGAUCUUGUUUGUUGUGUUGUUAGAUAUUGAUCAAAUAUAUACACAAUUAUUAUACUGUGUAACCAGAUUGGAUUCUACUGAGGUUAUAUAAAGAAUGUUUCUAGGUAAUGUAUUAAGCAUUUAAGUAAUGGGUACAUAGAUGAAUUUGUUUUUAUGAUUAAUGUUCAUAUGGUUCAUUGUUUUAUAUUCGUGUAAAUAAAUAACUGCGACUGGAUAAUGAUCAAUUAUUCACACAUAUUGAAUAGAUGUUGUUGUCUAAAAUGAAAAAUUAGUUGUUGGAAUUUCUGUUACACCGUUUUUCUUAAAGUUGCAAGAUGUGAAGUUGAUCUGUUGAUGAAACUGAAGUGGCACAUUGUUUUCAGAUUAAAGCAUCCUUAUUUCCGAAGUAACUUUGUGGGAACGAUAAGAAUGUUCUAGGCUUCUAAUAAUAAAGUCCUUGCUUUCAUAGAUUUCUUACUUCUUAAGUAGUCGUAGCUUUUGUAUUACCCCAAGGUCUAAAAUUUGGGUUCAUUUUAGAGCUCUUCUUAUCAAGGGGAUUAUAUCUGCCCAGUGAGAUCGAAGGACAAUCAAAUUGGAAUUUCUUCUUUUUUUUGCAGAAUAAGCUCGUCUUAUAGUUGAUCUGAAUUUGCAGAUGCUCAUAGGAGUUUGGUGGGAUAUACGGAUAUGAACGAUUUUACUAAGCAAGUCGAGACUGGAGGCAUGAACUGUUCCAUUUUGGAAAUAUCAAACAUUUCAUAACUCUUUAUGAUGCUCUUGAUGCUUCCAUAUUCUCCUGUUGCAGGUUUUGGCUGAAUCAGUUGACUCAGUGAGUGAGUUUGAAAAUUGGUGGCUGAGCCAAAAUCAAUGAACUUCUACAUUACACGGAGAAACCCGAGAAUUUUGUAGUACAAGCCCCUAAAAGUAGAUGACUUGUUCAAUCAUAUUUAAGUGAUAACAGUGUUUCAGAGCUUCAAGUGGUAUUAGCUUACUCUGAAGCUACAAAAUGACUAAUGAGUGCUUCAGCAGGUUUUACUCAUCUUUAAUCUUAGUUUUCAUAUUUAUAGCUAAUCUUCAACAUGUAUCCAUCUUUCUCUUCAUUCUGCAACAAAGUAAGGUUUUUUCUGCUUCUCAACUUUCAUUUAUAAACAUCUUCACAUUGAUGAACAUUGUACCUUUAUUUUUUAGUAAUGGUGUAUCACUUUGCAUAUAUCAAUUUUUACUUUUGGAAAAAGCUUAGCUUACUAUGAAGCUAUUGAAUGACUAAUAACUCGUGUUCCUUCAACAGGUCGUUCCCUACUGAUUUAUAAGACUGGAAGAUAUCAUGUAACCCUUGCUGCGAAGAGAAGUAACUUUAUACUUACGAGGCUAUAUUUCUGGGAACACAUCAAAACUCAUGAGUAGACCAAUCUGCAAGUAAAGGAAUGUUACGUCAUCCAUCUGAUUUGCUCAUUUUAAUUUUAUUAUUUACUGUUCAACAAUCAUUUGUUGGAAACUCAGCACUAGACUUGAGUUUCUGUUGGGUUUAGAUUUUUUUAUGUUGCUUGAAUGGAACCAGUUGUUUAUUGAGUGUAACAGAUUUUGACCUUGUAAUUCUUUUUAGUAAAUAAAUGAUGUUGUUAGAAUGAGUGCAGCGUAA